This 306-nucleotide ribosomal RNA is filed under the name uncultured Peredibacter sp. RNAcentral's name for it is "bacterial SSU rRNA". It matches the Rfam family "Bacterial small subunit ribosomal RNA", at positions 1033 to 1340 of the family's 1533-position model. The record is from RNAcentral. Lineage: Bacteria; Pseudomonadati; Bdellovibrionota; Bacteriovoracia; Bacteriovoracales; Bacteriovoracaceae.
GAGAGGUGCUGCAUGACUGUCGUCAGCCCGUGUUGUGAAAUGUUGGGUUAAGUCUCGCAACGAGCGCAACCCCUAUCGUCUGUUGCCAGCAUUAAGUUGGGCACUCUGACGAGACUGCCUGGGUUAACCAGGAGGAAGGUGGGGAUGUCGUCAAGUCCUCAUGGCCCUUAUGUCUAGGGCUACACACGUAAUACAAUGGCGCGUACAGAGGGAAGCGAACCUGCGAGGGGGAGCAAAUCUCAAGAAGCGCGUCUCAGUCCGGAUUGGAGUCUGCAACUCGACUCCAUGAAGUUGGAAUCGCUAGUA